GACGAACGCUGGCGGCGUGCUUAACACAUGCCAGUCGAACGGAAAGGCCCUGCUUGCAGGGUACUCGAGUGGCGAACGGGUGAGUAACACGUGGGUGAUCUGCCCUGCACUUCGGGAUAAGCUUGGGAAACUGGGCCUAAUACCGGAUAGGAGCCAUCUUUAGUGUGGUGGUUGGAAAGUUUUUUCGGUGUAGGAUGAGCUCGCGGCCUAUCAGCUUGUUGGUGGGGUAAUGGCCUACCAAGGCGGCGACGGGUAGCCGGCCUGAGAGGGUGUACGGCCACAUUGGGACUGAGAUACGGCCCAGACUCCUACGGGAGGCAGCAGUGGGGAAUAUUGCACAAUGGGCGCAAGCCUGAUGCAGCGACGCCGCGUGGGGGAUGAAGGCCUUCGGGUUGUAAACUCCUUUCGCUAGGGACGAAGCUUUGUUGUGACGGUACCUAGAUAAGAAGCACCGGCUAACUACGUG
Molecule: ribosomal RNA, 466 nt
Filed under: uncultured bacterium
Lineage: Bacteria
Description: partial 16S ribosomal RNA
Rfam family: Bacterial small subunit ribosomal RNA
Source: RNAcentral